This 374-nucleotide ribosomal RNA is filed under the name uncultured bacterium. RNAcentral describes it as "bacterial SSU rRNA". It matches the Rfam family "Bacterial small subunit ribosomal RNA", at positions 523 to 898 of the family's 1533-position model. The record is from RNAcentral.
AUACGUAGGGGGCAAGCGUUAUCCGGAAUUACUGGGCGUAAAGAGUGCGUAGGUGGCCACUCAAGCGCGGGGUUUAAGGCGACGGCCUAACCGUUGUCAGCCCCGCGAACUGGGUGGCUUGAGUACAGGAGAGGAAGGCGGAGUUCCUAGUGUAGCGGUGAAAUGCGUAGAUAUUAGGAGGAACACCGGUGGCGAAGGCGGCCUUCUGGACUGUCACUGACACUGAGGCACGAAAGCGUGGGUAGCAAACAGGAUUAGAUACCCUGGUAGUCCACGCCGUAAACGAUGAGCACUAGGUGUCGGGUACGUGAGUAUUCGGUGCCGCAGCUAACGCAUUAAGUGCUCCGCCUGGGGAGUACGCACGCAAGUGUGAA